GAGUGAAACAGUCUCUGAAACCGUGCGCCUACAAUCCGUCGGAGCCCUUUUGUGGGGUGACGGCGUGCCUAUCGAAAAAUGAGUCUGCGAGUCAGUGGCAUGUGGCGAGCAUAACCCGUGUGGGGUAUGCGUAGCGAAGGCGAGUCUUAAAAGGCGUUUGAGUCGCGUGUCCUGGACCCGAAGCGGGAUGAUCUAGCCCUGGGCAGGUUGAAGCGCGGGUAAGACCGCGUGGAGGACCGAACCCACCUGGGUUGAAAACCGGGGGGAUGACCUGGGGCUAGGGGUGAAAGGCCAAUCAAAUUCCGUGAUAGCUGGUUCUCUCCGAAAUGCAUUUGGGUGCAGCGUCGGGUCAUUACGUCCCGGGGGUAGAGCUACUGGAUGCUUGCGGGCCCGUGUCGGGUACCAAUAGCAGCCAAACUCCGAAUACCGUGGAUGUGUAUUCCGGCAGUGAGUCGGCGGGGGAUAAGCUCCGUCGUCGAGAGGGAGACAGCCCAGACCGUCGUCUAAGGUCCCGAAGCGUGUGCUAAGUGGGAAAGGAUGUGGAGUCGCAUAGACAGCCAGGAGGUUGGCUCAGAAGCAGCCAUCCUUGAAAGAGUGCGUAACAGCUCACUGGUCUAGUGGUUCCGCGCCGACAAUGUAGCGGGGCUCAAGCACACCACCGAAGACGCGGCAGCAAUCUUCAUGGUUGCUGGGUAGGAGAGCGUCCUGCAUGGGGCGAAGCGGCGGUGGAAACCGGCCGUGGACCGUGUGGGAGUGAGAAUGCAGACAUGAGUAGCGAGAGACGGGUGAGGAUCCCGUCCGCUGGAUGACCAAGGGUUCCGGGGCCACGUUCGUCGUCCCCGGGUGAGUCGGGUCCUAAGGCGAGGCCGACAGGCGUAGUCGAAUGGAUGAACGGGUCGAUAUUCCCGUACCGGCUUUCAGCCGCCAAAACCGAGGCUUGGAGUACUAACCUCCGGGUCCGGGCUUACUGCUCCUUCGGGGGCGGGAUGCCCUGGCCUGUUGGGACCGAUCCUUGUAGUAGGUCAGCGCAGGAGUGACGCAGAAGGGUAGCCGGCCGCGGAGGUGGUCUUCCGUGGUCAAGCACGCAGGGCGUGGGACAGGCAAAUCCGUCCCGCAUGGGUCCGAGGUGCGAUGAUGGGGGCCUUAUGGCCCGAUAUCCGGUGAUCCCGGCUGCCGAGAAAAGCUUCGGCGUCAGGCUCAAAGCCGCCCGUACCCCAAACCGACACUGGUGGUCAGGUAGAGAAUACCAAAGCGAUCGAGCGAAUCCUGGUCAAGGAACUCGGCAAAUCACUCCCGUUCCUUCGGUUUAAGGGAGACCCCCGAUGGUGAACACACUUGCUGUGGGAGCUUUUGGGGGUGGCACAGACCAGGGGGUAGCGACUGUUUACCAAAAACACAGGUGCAUGCGAAGGCGCAAGCCGCUGUAUAUGCACUGACGCCUGCCCGGUGCCGGAAGGUUAAGAGGAUCCGUCAGCCUUCGGGUGAAGCGGUGAAUUCAAGCCCCGGUAAACGGCGGUGGUAACUAUAACCAUCCUAAGGUAGCGAAAUUCCUUGUCGGGUAAGUUCCGACCUGCACGAAUGGCGUA
Molecule: ribosomal RNA, 1586 nt
Filed under: human gut metagenome
Description: bacterial LSU rRNA
Rfam family: Bacterial large subunit ribosomal RNA
Source: RNAcentral